This is a long non-coding RNA of Nyctereutes procyonoides (raccoon dog), 402 nucleotides long. RefSeq lists it as uncharacterized. The transcript has 4 exons. Lineage: Eukaryota; Metazoa; Chordata; Mammalia; Carnivora; Canidae. The record is from RefSeq and is a predicted model, not a curated record.
CAAAUAGAGCCGAGAUUCAAAAUGCUUCUUGUCUGAUCCAUGGACCUUCCUCUUCAUUAGGAGGACACCCUAAGCUACUACUAAGCUCCACAAAGGACCCCACGCCACAGCCUGUCCUUGGAAGUUUCUCCUUUCCCUUCUUUCUUGUGGGUGCCUCUCCCCUCCAGUACAGAGUUAUUGCAGAUGGGGCGGAGGAACAUGUUCCAGGAGACUAAUUAGAGGUGAAGCCUUUCCAGUCCUGGCUGUGUGAUAUUGGCAGUCUUCCCUGAUACAUCAGUCUUCUCUUCGGGAUGAAAAUCAAGAUUGGAGGCAGCACACUAGACUGGAAACAUCCUUCCAGAACUUUCUGAGGCUGGUUGGCUGAUGGCAGGUGCCCUGGGCCUGCACCCAGAGCCGGUUCCU